Molecule: ribosomal RNA, 237 nt
Filed under: Triticum aestivum (bread wheat)
Lineage: Eukaryota; Viridiplantae; Streptophyta; Magnoliopsida; Poales; Poaceae
Description: partial small subunit ribosomal RNA
Source: RNAcentral
ACAGAAGGUUUUUCUGUACCAGCUCCUUCUACCUAUACCGCAGUUGAAGCACCUAAAGGUGAAUUUGGUGUCUUUCUUGUCAGUAAUGGGAGUAAUCGUCUCUACCGUUGUAAAAUAAGAGCACCUGGCUUUGCCCAUUCACAAGGACUCGAUUCUAUGUACAAACAUCACAUGCCAGCAGAUGUAGUCACCAUCAUAGGUACUCAAGAUAUUGUGUUUGGAGAGGUAGAUAGAUAG